Molecule: long non-coding RNA, 602 nt
Filed under: Gossypium barbadense (sea-island cotton)
Lineage: Eukaryota; Viridiplantae; Streptophyta; Magnoliopsida; Malvales; Malvaceae
Description: long non-coding RNA (GBAR_LNC022076)
Source: RNAcentral
AGCAACCUAAUCUUUUCCCUUAAUGGCUGCGCUAUUUUAAACCCCGUUAUCACCAUCCGAACUCCGAUCACGGCGGAGCAAACUAGGAUUCAGUGGCCUCAACUCAAAGGUAAGCCUCUCUUCUUUUCUCUACUGCUCUUUUCUUGUCAUUAACAAAUGAAAUCAAAUAAGGAAAAUCAAGAAACAGAGAAUAACGCCCGAAAAAAGAAAAAAAAAGAAAUGAGAUCACCUUUCGAAACAAACUUUUUGCUUUGAUUUUUUUUUUUGUAUUCAAUCUCUCUGUGUGUGUACAAAUGAGAAGCAAAAGAGAAAAAGAAAAAAAUCCCCCCUUUACAGGUUUUUGAAAGGCUUUUUUUAUAGCCCCGAAACAAAAAUGAAAAAAAAAUACAAAACUCUUUUUUUCCUAUUCUUUUUCUCUACUUUUCUCUUGUUGUUUGUUUGUGUGUCUGUUGCAGGUACAGAGCUAGCCUGGCGCUGAGGUGCAUGUGUGGCGCAGAUGCAGUGCAUUGCGGGGUAGUUGGAGGCUUGCGGAUGUGCUAGAGUUGCUGACUGCUGCGGCGUCAGAAGAAUCUAGAAACCCUAAAGGUUUCUGGAAAUAUUUG